This 999-nucleotide ribosomal RNA is filed under the name Clostridium tyrobutyricum. RNAcentral describes it as "bacterial SSU rRNA". It matches the Rfam family "Bacterial small subunit ribosomal RNA", at positions 36 to 1056 of the family's 1533-position model. Lineage: Bacteria; Bacillati; Bacillota; Clostridia; Eubacteriales; Clostridiaceae. The record is from RNAcentral.
AUAAGGGGAUGACAGCACAUGCAGUCGAGCGAUGAACCCCUUCGGGGGUGGAUUAGCGGCGGACGGGUGAGUAACACGUGGGUAACCUGCCUCAAAGUGGGGGAUAGCCUUCCGAAAGGAAGAUUAAUACCGCAUAAAGCCAAGUUUCACAUGGAAUUUGGAUGAAAGGAGUAAUUCGCUUUGAGAUGGACCCGCGGCGCAUUAGUUAGUUGGUGGGGUAAUGGCCUACCAAGACAGCGAUGCGUAGCCGACCUGAGAGGGUGAUCGGCCACAUUGGAACUGAGAUACGGUCCAGACUCCUACGGGAGGCAGCAGUGGGGAAUAUUGCACAAUGGGCGAAAGCCUGAUGCAGCAACGCCGCGUGAGUGAUGAAGGUCUUCGGAUUGUAAAGCUCUGUCUUUUGGGACGAUAAUGACGGUACCAAAGGAGGAAGCCACGGCUAACUACGUGCCAGCAGCCGCGGUAAUACGUAGGUGGCGAGCGUUGUCCGGAUUUACUGGGCGUAAAGGGUGCGUAGGCGGAUGUUUAAGUGAGAUGUGAAAUACCCGGGCUUAACUUGGGUGCUGCAUUUCAAACUGGAUAUCUAGAGUGCAGGAGAGGAGAAUGGAAUUCCUAGUGUAGCGGUGAAAUGCGUAGAGAUUAGGAAGAACACCAGUGGCGAAGGCGAUUCUCUGGACUGUAACUGACGCUGAGGCACGAAAGCGUGGGUAGCAAACAGGAUUAGAUACCCUGGUAGUCCACGCCGUAAACGAUGAGUACUAGGUGUAGGAGGUAUCGACCCCUUCUGUGCCGCAGUAAACACAUUAAGUACUCCGCCUGGGAAGUACGAUCGCAAGAUUAAAACUCAAAGGAAUUGACGGGGGCCCGCACAAGCAGCGGAGCAUGUGGUUUAAUUCGAAGCAACGCGAAGAACCUUACCUGGACUUGACAUCCCCUGAAUAACCUAGAGAUAGGCGAAGCCCUUCGGGGCAGGGAGACAGGUGGUGCAUGGUUGUCGUC